This is a long non-coding RNA of Gadus chalcogrammus (walleye pollock), 1083 nucleotides long. RefSeq lists it as uncharacterized. The transcript is spliced from 4 exons. The record is from RefSeq and is a predicted model, not a curated record. NCBI's taxonomy places the organism in Eukaryota, Metazoa, Chordata, Actinopteri, Gadiformes, Gadidae.
GGUCAGGGUGACGUUGCAGGGCUAUGGUCGGCUCUCUGUGAGCUCAACGUUUAGAUUUUCUCUGGUUUGUACCCUGAAUAAUCUAGAUAAUUGUAAAAUGUAGACACGGUUUUGCAUUGAAUGAUUCCAGGAUUUUAGGUUUAAAGUUGUUGUGCAUGGUAGUUUGGUUCUUCGUAUGGUUUUGAGUGAUUAUAACUUGUACACACUGGGUGCAUAAUAAUGUAAUGUUACACUGAAUAGUAUUAAUGACCAACAGCAACAAACAGAUCCCCUCAAGGUAAGUCUGUUGGCUGUAUUUUAAUGAAGACCAUCGCUGGACUUCAGGAUCUUCCUCCGUUCAGCUCAAGGUGAGGCUGGUUACGUUUUUUCUUUGGUUGGUUCCGGCUGGAAUGUUCGGAUUCCAGUCGGACGGUUUGUGCUUCCCGCCGUGGAAGGUUCUGAGUGCGGUCACUUGAUUUAGUCCCAAUGGUUAGCAUAGAAAGUUGUAGUCUUGACAACCAUAAGAACACUGACACGAAUUUCGUACAAUAUGUUAAUUUCCGAUGGUUGCGCCGUACUUUUAACCACGUUGACGGGACUCUCGCUGCGUACAAAACGGCGUUCUACUUGCGGCCCAAUUUUUGGUGAAGGCUGAAAAUCAUUUCAAGGUGGAAGACAAGUUGAGUAAAUUUGAUUUAAUAUUGAUACUUCUUAGUGUUCAUUGUUACUUCACUGUUACUUGCUGAUAUAAACCUCCUGCUGUAGCUCAAAGGUGAGGCUGAGAGGCUUGGGACCGGAGGCUUGUGGUGCCAGGAUGGACCGGAGACUGAGGCUGGAGACCAGGGGCCUGCAGCACCGGACCAGAGGACCAGGAAUCCAUGGCUGAAGGAGCUGAUGGAGGCCCUGCCUGGUGGAGGAGCCAUGCUGAAAGCCCUGCCUGGUGGAGGAGCUGACGGAGGCCCUGCCUGGUGGAGGAUGUCUGUCGUGGGACCAGGACUCUUUCUGAGGAGAGCAGAUGGAGGAGCUGAGACGCUGGAGGACAACUAGGAAUCAACCAACAAGGAUUCCUCAACGUGUUUCUGGAGCGGAGGCGAGCUGAUGGGG